CAGGAUGAACGCUUGCUACAGGCUUAACACAUGCAAGUCGAGGGGCAGCGAGAGGAAAGCUGCUUCCUUGUCGGCGACCGGCGCACGGGUGAGUAACGCGUAUCCAACCUUCCCCAUAGUAGAGGAUAGCCCGGCGAAAGUCGGAUUAAUACUCUAUGUUGUGUCAUGAGGACAUCUGAAUAACACUAAAGAUUUAUCGCUAUGGGAUGGGGAUGCGUCUGAUUAGCUUGUCGGCGGGGUAACGGCCCACCGAGGCGACGAUCAGUAGGGGUUCUGAGAGGAAGGUCCCCCACAUUGGUACUGAGACACGGACCAAACUCCUACGGGAGGCAGCAGUGAGGAAUAUUGGUCAAUGGACGAGAGUCUGAACCAGCCAAGUAGCGUGCAAGGAUGACUGCCCUAUGGGUUGUAAACUGCUUUUAUGCGGGAAUAAAGUCAGGUACGUGUACCUGUUUGUAUGUACCGCAUGAAUAAGGACCGGCUAAUUCCGUGCCAGCCGCCGC
This 503-nucleotide ribosomal RNA is filed under the name uncultured bacterium. RNAcentral's name for it is "bacterial SSU rRNA". It matches the Rfam family "Bacterial small subunit ribosomal RNA", at positions 25 to 518 of the family's 1533-position model. The record is from RNAcentral.